RNAcentral lists this ribosomal RNA (97 nucleotides) under Staphylococcus aureus MUF256. Its description in RNAcentral is "partial 16S ribosomal RNA". It matches the Rfam family "Bacterial small subunit ribosomal RNA", at positions 1 to 90 of the family's 1533-position model. The record is from RNAcentral. Lineage: Bacteria; Bacillati; Bacillota; Bacilli; Caryophanales; Staphylococcaceae.
AUUUUUAUGGAGAGUUUGAUCCUGGCUCAGGAUGAACGCUGGCGGCGUGCCUAAUACAUGCAAUGUCGAGCGAACGGACGAGAAGCUUGCUUCUCUG